RNAcentral lists this ribosomal RNA (253 nucleotides) under uncultured bacterium. RNAcentral's name for it is "partial 16S ribosomal RNA". It matches the Rfam family "Bacterial small subunit ribosomal RNA", at positions 524 to 776 of the family's 1533-position model. The record is from RNAcentral.
UACGAAGGGGGCUAGCGUUGCUCGGAAUCACUGGGCGUAAAGCGCACGUAGGCGGCUUUCUAAGUCAGGGGUGAAAUCCUGGAGCUCAACUCCAGAACUGCCUUUGAUACUGGAGAGCUUGAGUCCGGGAGAGGUGAGUGGAACUCCGAGUGUAGAGGUGAAAUUCGUAGAUAUUCGGAAGAACACCAGUGGCGAAGGCGGCUCACUGGACUGGUAUUGACGCUGAGGCGCGAAAGCCAGGGGAGCAAACGGG